This 253-nucleotide ribosomal RNA is filed under the name uncultured bacterium. RNAcentral describes it as "partial 16S ribosomal RNA". It matches the Rfam family "Bacterial small subunit ribosomal RNA", at positions 524 to 776 of the family's 1533-position model. The record is from RNAcentral.
UACGGAGGGUCCAAGCGUUAUCCGGAUUCAUUGGGUUUAAAGGGUGCGUAGGCGGUCAAAUAAGUCAGUGGUGAAAGCCUUCCGCUUAACGGGAGAACUGCCAUUGAUACUGUUUGACUUGAAUCUAGUUGAAGUGGGCGGAAUAUGUCAUGUAGCGGUGAAAUGCAUAGAUAUGACCUAGAACGCCGAUUGCGAAGGCAGCUCACUAAGCUAGUAUUGACGCUGAGGCACGAAAGCGUGGGUAGCGAACAGG